AUGAGUUCAGAGCUGUUCGAGAAGGGGUCCAAGACUGAUGAUAAGGAUGUGCUGCGCCAGUCGCGCGAUCAUUCAGUUCUGGCCCUGGCCUACUUCACCGAAGCCAAGCGGUUUGCGCCACGCUGCAUCGUGACUCCUGUCUUCCGAGGGAACGAGCUGAUGUGCCUUGCAAAGCUCGGUGAGCUUGAGAAGGAAGUCCUUCCAGAGAUUAAGCUUCCCUUCGACACAGAUGUUGCGUCCGUUGUGUCUCUUCAUGCCAAUGAGUUCACUGACCGGAUUGCUGACAUCCAAUCUGAGUUCAUCCAUGCCAGUACCAUGAUUGACCCGGACGACCCAGCCAAGCAUAACAUCUGGUAUGAUAUUCGUCGGUGCACACAACACAGGAACAAACGGCGAACCAAGCACGCCAGCGACUGGCUUGAAGGGCUCGAACAGGGCUACCAGCUCAUCCACUCGUCGCCCAAGGACAACAUUACCAAAGCAAGAGCAGAAGCUUCAGAUAAGCUACACGAGAUAAUGCGAUUUGUGUGCGAUCAAUAUGUGCCUAGUAAAGUGGAGGAGAUCUUGCGUAAGGAUGUUGCUGGUCAUCUUGCUGCUGCAAGAGAGGAGGCAAAGAACUUGGCUGCAACUUAUGGCUACUGUGCCCGAGCACGCAUGCUAGAAGGUUAUGUGGAGCUGAAGCACACUACAAGAGUGGGUGGACCACAGUUUAAGGCAAUGUUAAGAGAGCUGAUCCAGAUGGUACAUGAAGCAGCGGCUGCUUUCAAAGGUUCUAUCAUCAUUGCAAAGUUUCUGGCUGAGUUCUAUUCUGCACUUGGCCAAGAUGUGUAUGCUUUGAGCAUUGUUCAAAGAGCCCUUCUAGUCCAUAACCCUGACGACCCGCGCAAACAUGAUGUGCCCGUUGGCUGCACCCCAGGGGACUGCUCUGAAGAUAGGAUUGCCACUGUCCAAGACCAACUUGGUCAGAUGCUUGCCAGAAUUGAAGCUAAUAUAAAAUCAAGAAGCCAUCCAACAGAUCUUUUAGGAAGCGAAGAAGACGUUGCUGAAGUUGACAAUGGAAGUCCGGUCAACGGAAAGGGGAAGAAGAAGAAGAAGAAGACGGAGAAAAAGCCUGCAGUGCAUCAUGCAUUUAGGUAUUCACAGAAGAAAAAGGCGCCCAACCCGAGCAGGAUACCUGUAUGGGAGGACUGGCUUCGAAAGAACAGAACAACACCUACACCGGCAUCUAUUCCUCCCAUACAUAUGGUUCAACAGCAGCUUGUGCCAGAGUGUGAGGUGAACCUGUAUGUGGAGUACUGCCAAGCACUCGCACAGUGUUCGAAGAAGAAUUUUGUAUGUCAUCUGUGUUGUUUCGAGGGACCUUACUGCUCUCGAGUGCAGAUAAAUGAUAUCAGCAAUCACUAUCUGGCCGAGCACAGCUUGAGCCUGGAACAAGCUUUCAAGUGCCCCGAGAAACCCUGCAACAUCAGGCUUCGCAGCUACGCCGACUUCCGGAGGCACCAUCACUUUGUUCAUCGGUUAACACCUGGCUGGUGGAAAUCGGAGAGUGACUUGAAGGUUACAGGGGAGGGUGGUGCAAAGAUCUAG
This 1587-nucleotide ribosomal RNA is filed under the name Triticum aestivum (bread wheat). Its description in RNAcentral is "partial small subunit ribosomal RNA". The record is from RNAcentral. Lineage: Eukaryota; Viridiplantae; Streptophyta; Magnoliopsida; Poales; Poaceae.